GACACAUUACAUAAAAAUCGCAGCCUGGACGCUCUGCGCGGGCCAAUAGGGAAGUGGCUAGGCGGCAAAGCCCGCCCCGGGAGCCCCGGAGACCUACCUCCCAGUCCCGCAGGCGCCGGGGCCACCACCUGUUGCUGCCAACCUAGGAGUGCUGGAUGAGGCCUCUUCUCUUGACCCUCGACCCAGGCAGCCCCAGCUGUCCUGACCUAACCGGGCGGUGCCCAGAUUUAUGGAUCUCCGGCGGCAUUCCCCCAACUCCGUCCCGCGACUCCCCAUCCCUUCGGGUGCCCGCCCCGGCACACACCUCGGAAAUUAGGUCGCACAGGAAGUUAGGGAGCCCGAGUUGGGAUCAGAAGUCAUCCAGAAUCUUCACUCCUUUGACCCAGCAACAAGUGACCCCAAGGCUACCUGAACCUGGGCAGAAGCUGAGGCAGAAUACAAACCACCCCCCAGGAGGCUCCUCCCCUACAGCCAGUCCUUCAGCUAUGCUCUGACCUGCCAGGAGGGGAAGCUGCUAGAUUCACCGGACUGGAGACUAUAGAACAAGAACAAAACAAGACUGAAAAGGAACUAAGACAUGAGCCUGGAACACUGAGACAGCUUCAAGUCAGAUUCAUUUUCUGAACAGAACAAAGCUGGACUUAUCUCCUGACUAGAGUAUGGGCUUUAUUCAUACCUUAUCUUUGGAAUAAAAGGCUUUCUCUUCCA
Lutra lutra (Eurasian river otter) is the source of this 708-nucleotide long non-coding RNA. RefSeq lists it as uncharacterized. The transcript is spliced from 3 exons. NCBI's taxonomy places the organism in Eukaryota, Metazoa, Chordata, Mammalia, Carnivora, Mustelidae. The record is from RefSeq and is a predicted model, not a curated record.